GGCUAACUGUCCACCAUAUUGCACUGUGGAGUAUUGCUCAACCCGGCCUACCAGAACAGCACUUUGUACCCUGAGAGAACCUGAGGGUGUCAUGUGUGAUGCAAAGUGCCGUGUUACCUAUUGUCAUACCUGUUACUAUGACGAUGAGUAUCGCCCCCUGAUAAGUAGCUGCAAAACGUGCUCUGGUAUUGAGAAUGAGUUCAACAAGGCCAAGUGUUUCAGAAGGUGGGCGGUGUGUACGAGACGAGCUGAUGGAGAGGCCUAUCUCAAGGUACGUGCUCGGGAGAGAACCAGUGAAAAGUUUAAGUGUUACGAGCAACCCUGUGCCUGACUGAGCAGACAACAAUUAUUAUGGAAAUAAUGUAUAUAAAUAAUUAUGGUCAUAGUUACUAGAUCUAUUAUAAAUAGUGUGUAUACCAUGAGAACAGUAUAUUUAUUGCCUUUUGUAUAGCCCAACUAAAAUUUGUCUCGAUUAGCUAUAAUUAUAACCGUCUUAAGUUUAUAUUAACAUGCACAACAACUUGUCACAAGUUUAGUAGAAAAAAAAAUAUUUGGGUUUAAA
This is a long non-coding RNA of Halichondria panicea, 562 nucleotides long. RefSeq lists it as uncharacterized. The transcript is spliced from 3 exons. The record is from RefSeq and is a predicted model, not a curated record. NCBI's taxonomy places the organism in Eukaryota, Metazoa, Porifera, Demospongiae, Suberitida, Halichondriidae.